GGAAGUUAAAAAACUGUUUUUUAACUUUUAACUAAAAAAGCUAAGAACCGGUUCUUAAAUAAGGAUUUUAAGGACCGAUUCUUAGCCUUUUAAUUAAAAGUUAAGAAACAGUUUUUUAACUUCC
Brassica oleracea var. oleracea is the source of this 124-nucleotide microRNA precursor. It matches the Rfam family "MIR9563 microRNA precursor family". The record is from Rfam. Lineage: Eukaryota; Viridiplantae; Streptophyta; Magnoliopsida; Brassicales; Brassicaceae.